GUGUAUGAAGGACGAAAAGAAAAUUUUUAAUUAUAUAAAAGCGAUUCUGACUGUUGCUUUGAGCGAACGAGCUGAAGUCCUACCAUCUGGAGAGGAAUUACCUUGCCCAACGGCAAAGACUUAUCUAAGAAAUUCAAUUAUAGUGGAUUAGAAUAAAGUUGAGAAUCAUUUAUUAAACCACCAAACAGAAGAAGUUUUUUUUCGAGUGCAAAGUUUAAAUUAUCUUUCCAUCAAGCAAUCGUGGAUUCACUUAAUUUUAUCCAGCGGUUAUCUACUUGUCGACAGGAAUCAAAGUUACUAAAUGUAUUUUUUCAAAAGUUUAAGUUUAAAAAGAAGUUGAAAAUUAUUUAUUUAUAAUAUUCGAUGUUAUAAAUAACCUGAUUAAAUACAUAAUGUGUUUUAUGUGAUCAAAUCCGCUGGCAUUUUUAGUUGCGUCAUUUUUUCUUGCUGUUUGAAAUUCAAGUAUCACAAAACGUGGUUUCUCGAGCUGCGUAGAAGUUUUGACUGCCCAUAUGUGCUUCGAAGUACUUGGUAAUAGAGGAUACUCAUACAGCUCCCAAGCACGGAAACUGAUUGAGAUAGCUGGAUCACUUGUAAUAUAAUUCAAAGCUUCAAUUUUUUGUUUAUCAGCCAUGGUCAUGUAUGGUACAAUCUACUCGAUUUUUUGCAGUGUAAUUUUAACAGCUUCAGCAUGAGCUCCAGCAGCAGGUAGGCCACAAUGUAUGCAUUCAAAUCAAAAUAUGAUCUUAUCAAAAUUAAUUCAUGUCUUGCAUUGAUGACAAUUUUAUGGUAAUCUUCAGCAAAACCAAGCAGGAGACUCAGUGGUAUAGAUAUACCUACCAAAAACAGAUUCUCUGUAUAAAAUCGCGCCAAGUACACGUUUAAAAUUUUUUACAAUUACGAAAAGAUUCUUUUUACAAAAAAAAUAAAUCACAUCGAAAAAAUACCA
Molecule: long non-coding RNA, 949 nt
Organism: Microplitis mediator
Lineage: Eukaryota; Metazoa; Arthropoda; Insecta; Hymenoptera; Braconidae
Exons: 4
Source: RefSeq, a predicted model, not a curated record